CUGCUUUGGCAGCACAUAUGCUAAAACUGGAACAAUACAAGAUUAGUAUGACUUCUAUGUAUGGAUGACACACAAAUCCGUGAAGAGUUCCAUAUUUUU
RNAcentral lists this small nuclear RNA (99 nucleotides) under Nannospalax galili (Upper Galilee mountains blind mole rat). The record is from RNAcentral. Lineage: Eukaryota; Metazoa; Chordata; Mammalia; Rodentia; Spalacidae.